CAGAUCAGAAUCGCCAAAACAUCUAACUCGCGUAAGGUUCAUCUCCUUGGCGAGUCGCAAGCCGUGAAGCAAAGCUUCAUAUUCCGCAGCAUUGUUAGUGCACGGAAACAUGAGUCAGAGGACAUAACAGAAUUUAUCUCCUUGAGGGGACACCAGUACCACACCAUCCCCCGAGCCUUCCAGCUGUCUGGAUCCAUCAAAAUAAAUAG
Molecule: long non-coding RNA, 209 nt
Filed under: Hordeum vulgare
Lineage: Eukaryota; Viridiplantae; Streptophyta; Magnoliopsida; Poales; Poaceae
Description: long non-coding RNA (HVUL_LNC018604)
Source: RNAcentral